CAAUUUAAAGCUUAAGUAGAAAAGCAUUUCAUUUACACUGAAAAAAUUAAUGUGCAAAUCUUUAUAAAUUGA
Molecule: transfer RNA, 72 nt
Filed under: Apocephalus antennatus
Lineage: Eukaryota; Metazoa; Arthropoda; Insecta; Diptera; Phoridae
Description: tRNA-Val
Rfam family: tRNA
About the family: Transfer RNA (tRNA) molecules are approximately 80 nucleotides in length. Their secondary structure includes four short double-helical elements and three loops (D, anti-codon, and T loops).
Source: RNAcentral